Long non-coding RNA from Cimex lectularius (bed bug), 470 nucleotides. RefSeq lists it as uncharacterized. NCBI's taxonomy places the organism in Eukaryota, Metazoa, Arthropoda, Insecta, Hemiptera, Cimicidae. The record is from RefSeq and is a predicted model, not a curated record. The transcript has 2 exons.
UAAAACAAAUCAUAUGUUAAUGUGAUUUACACAAUUUAGUGUAGUUUUAACAGUGAAGACAAAUGAAGAAGAAAGGGCGAACUAUGUUGACGAUGAUCAUUUUAACACAGCAAUCAACACUGGCUGCUCCACCAUACAUAAACUGUUCAUUUGAAGAGUGUAGUUGCGGUAUGUGAUCGUCAUAAGUCAACAACAUGUCUGGCUGAAUGGGAACUUCCAACUGUAAAUUAACCAAAACCGUACGGCGCAAACAUAAAAAAAAGAGCUUUCCUUCCAACUUCAAGUUUCUUGAAUUUUCCAAGACACGUACAUGAGGGUAAAACUGCUCGUUCUGUUAUGAUUCCUCCUGAGCAAUUUUUUCCUUCUCCCGUUUACAAUGGUAUUGAAGAAGCGUCUGCUAACGUUGCCGUAAAUUUAUUGAACAGAGACCCAAUUACAAAAUAAAACAUUAUUGCCAUAAAUUGUUUUCA